AUGAUCAAAUUGGCCCUUUUUGGAGACGAAAAAGGACUGAGACAGGGAGACCCUUUCUCCCCCAUUCUUUUUAAUAUUGCCAUCGAUAUACUUAAUUUGCUUUUAGCUAAGGCACAAAAUAUGGACCUUAUCCAAGGGUUAGCACAAGAUUUUGUUCCAGAUGGCAUUAAUAUGUUACAAUACGCUGAUGACACCAUUUUCAUGUUUAGACACAAUCUGGAAAGUGCUAGAAACUUGAAAUUAUUCUUUGUUUAUUUGAACAAUUGUCUGGCCUUAAAGUUAAUUUUCACAAGAGAGAGUUUUUUUGUUUUGGUGAAGCAAAGGACAAACAGGAAAAUUACUCUACAAUAUUUACUUGUGCUGUAG
RNAcentral lists this ribosomal RNA (366 nucleotides) under Triticum aestivum (bread wheat). RNAcentral's name for it is "partial small subunit ribosomal RNA". The record is from RNAcentral. Lineage: Eukaryota; Viridiplantae; Streptophyta; Magnoliopsida; Poales; Poaceae.